GCCAGCAAAAACCUUAGACACAGUAUUAAGAUGGGUUGGACUUUAGGGAGGGCACCUGUAUAUGAUGUUAAUAUGUAACUUGCUUCAUUGACUUUGCAGUAUUUCGACGGAUAUGGGUAUCAUGGAACCUCAUUUGAGCAGACAUAUCGAUGUUACCCUUCAUCCUUUAUCGAUAAGGAUAAUUGGCCUUCUGUGAUGUUUGCAAUGGCAGGAUGGGUGGUACUUAGCCUUGUAAAUCUCUCAACUCAGUAUGCUUAGGAUUUUGUUGGCUUAUCAGUCACAUAAGUGAUCACUGCAAGCAUAACAGUUGUUAUAGGUCCUUUCUUUAUUGAGCAGGUUCCGAAGGCUCAAGUUGUUGGUUUUAAAAGUUUGUGCUUUUCCCCAAAUUUCCAAAUGGU
This is a long non-coding RNA of Humulus lupulus (European hop), 398 nucleotides long. RefSeq lists it as uncharacterized. The transcript has 3 exons. NCBI's taxonomy places the organism in Eukaryota, Viridiplantae, Streptophyta, Magnoliopsida, Rosales, Cannabaceae. The record is from RefSeq and is a predicted model, not a curated record.